RNAcentral lists this long non-coding RNA (616 nucleotides) under Lactuca sativa (garden lettuce). RNAcentral describes it as "long non-coding RNA (LSAT_LNC004685)". Lineage: Eukaryota; Viridiplantae; Streptophyta; Magnoliopsida; Asterales; Asteraceae. The record is from RNAcentral.
CUUUCAAUAACCAAGUGUCUGUUUAGUACCGUGAAGAAGAAGGUACCAGCUUCCGCCGCCGGCCCAAGUAAGAAGUGAAGGUCUCGCUCCAAAUUGACGCAAAGGGGGAGAUUGUUGGGCUGAAGUUCUGUUUUAUGUUGCGUCUUUUGGGCUCGUAGAUUAGCCUUNACCAGCUUCAGCCGCCGGCCCAAGUAAGAAGUGAAGGUCUCGCUCCAAAUUGACGCAAAGGGGGAGAUUGUUGGGCUGAAGUUCUGUUUUAUCUUGCGUCUUUUGGGCUCGUAGAUUAGCCUUGUAAUCUCCGGUUUGGGCCUGUCCAACCGAGAGCCUUUUAUGUAUUGUAUAUAAGUUAAUACUUGCAUGCAUAUUAGGUUAAGAUUAAAGAUUCAAGAUUUCAGUUUUAGCAUUCCAGAGUUUUACGAUAUUACUCUCUUGUAAUCUUCCAAUCCUUUACAGUUGAUGUUCUUAAUCGAGCUCUUCUAAGGAUUUUAUUUAAUCAUUCGACUCGUUUGAUUCAAGCUGUUUGUUCUUAUUAUUGCGUUCUGCCUUGUUAUUAAUAUAGUGUUCUUGCUGUUUCAUAUUGAUAUACUUGUUCAAGAUCUAAUCGAUCUUCAUAGAU